Molecule: long non-coding RNA, 1138 nt
Organism: Stegastes partitus (bicolor damselfish)
Lineage: Eukaryota; Metazoa; Chordata; Actinopteri; Pomacentridae
Exons: 3
Source: RefSeq, a predicted model, not a curated record
UGGUUUCAACUGUAAAUAAGUUAAAAUCCAAAUUUGAAGAGUUUAAGAUCCACUUGUCAAAAAGUGUAAAAAAAAUAUAUAUAAGUAAAUAAACAAAAAACAUUACAAACUUGUUUAUCUUCUCCCACUGCUGUCUACAAACUGUGUUUCAAUGUUUUAGAUGAAACAAAAAAUGUCCUAAUUUAAGAAUUACAGUCAUAUGUCACAACGACACAAAUUCGAUCCAGCCACAUGUGCAGAAUGUAAAACGAUAAUCCUAACGUGCAGCUUCUAAAGCAAGGAAAUCACACGAAAGAAAGAUGGACAUUAUGAAACUUUCAUUAAAAUUCUUUAGCAUUUAAACAAGCUCUAACAGUUAUUAUUCAUAAAUGAGAUCUGGUUUAACUUGGAGCGUGCCGACUACAAAGCUGAGAUCACUGAUUCAUCCUCGACCCCUGCUCCUCGUGUCAUGUCACUUUCAGGUUUAAUCAUCCCGUCGGUUUUUUUUGGUGUCACACAUCGCACAGACAGUCAUUCAAAUUUCACAACUUUCUGUGCCACAGAAAAACACCGUUUGUGCACACCUACAGGCUCGUACACUCCGCCGACGGCUGGUGUCUCCAGGAUUUGAGAGUCAGACCUCAGAGGUUUAGGACCCUGGAAACACUCAUAGAGACCUACAGAAGAGCUACAGCCUCUAAUGUUGGUAUAGUUCCCCUCACAGACCCACUGGACAAAAGUCAACUACAAAACAACUUGGAGUUCGUCUACAUGGAGGUGAACAGUGGCAGCUCAGUGUGUUGAGGCCUUUGUGUCGUCAUGCAGGCGCCGGUAAUCUGGCAGGAAAACGAGACGACAGAAACGUGCAGUAUGUCAUGCAUGCCGCCUACAAACUUCUGGGGGACUUGAAAGUCAAUGAAAUGUGUUUAAAUUAAGGAGUGUUUUGGUUACUGCUGUGUAAAUACGAUACACAUCUCGGGUUUUAUUUUCAGCCCACCUUUGUACGUGGUUUGUAAUUGUUUUAAUCUGUCUGUGAGAAAGUGUGCAUUUGCCAGUUAACACACCAACAGCUUCCAGCCUUAUGGACUCACUAUGCAACACGUGCCCAACCGCCUGUAUUCUCAUGUUUUGUUUGAUAAAUAAAAUCAAUUUAACCAUG